Molecule: long non-coding RNA, 1722 nt
Filed under: Limulus polyphemus (Atlantic horseshoe crab)
Lineage: Eukaryota; Metazoa; Arthropoda; Merostomata; Xiphosura; Limulidae
Description: uncharacterized LOC106460215, transcript variant X8
Source: RNAcentral
AUGGGAAGGUUAUGUAUGAGAUGACUGAGCUUUUAAAUUGUCUCAUCUAUAUUUCCAAGAGAAAAUUAUAUCAAUACUUCUGACCAUGAGCAUUCUGUAGGAAAUAUUGAAAUUGACCUGAAUCAUGCAGAUAUUACUUCCUUGGUUGUAAGUAGAAAUACUGAGUGUGGGAAGUAGAUAAAACACCAGGGCUAUAAAAGGUUUACUGUGGGAUUUUAAGAGAAGUAAAAAAACCAAUUAUGCAAGCCUCUUUCUUUCAUUUGUAGUAGGUGAAUAGAUGUCUGUGGAUUGGAGUGUUGUUUAUGUAACUCAAACUUUUAAAGGGGGAUGAUAAGAGUCAUCCUGGAAAUCAUAGGCUAGUUAGUUUUUACUUCUGUUGUGUGAAAAAUUUUAGCAUUAUAAAAGGAUACUUACAAAAUAAUUUAGUGAAAUAUGAUGUUAUAAAUGAUAAUCAACAUAGGUGCACCAAAGGGAUUUUUUUUUCUUACUAACCACUCCUUUUUUUUUGAGGAUUAGGUAUCUGAACAAAGGAGAGAGUGUGGACUUGAUGUAUUUAGUUUUCAGAAAAAAAUUUUUUGUUAAGGGCCUGAAACUUACAGUAAAGAAAGUAUAUGUGAAAAGAAACACUUUAUCUCCCCCAUCUCUGCAUCAUCCAAGUUUUCUGUGUUUCAGGUGCCAGAAAAUCAAGAUAAAUGUAGUAAAUUUUUAGAAGAAAAAAUAUGUAAAUUUGAACCAGUGCUCUGAAGCUUCUGAUUUGGAAAGAAUGGAACAUGGAGUUUCUGAUUGGUGUGGAUAUCUCAAGAAAUGUAUUUUGAGUCAAAUGCAUCUUACCACUGCAUAAAAGAGAGGAUUAUACUUGACUUUUACCACAAUCCCAGAAGUUCGUAUCUAGAUUGUUAGAGAAAUACAGAGAGAAAAGACUUAGACAGAAAGCAAAUCAAGAAUGGCACAAAGUGCUUGAAAGAAGCUGGAUAAAAAGAAUAGAAAAAGAGUGCCAGAAAAGAACUGAAGAAUAGCAUACUCUUCUUAGUACACAGUAUAAACAUAAUGUUGUUAAGCUACAAGACCUUUUAGCUGCUCACCAAGCCAUUAUUGCUCUGACGAAAGAGAAAACAGACUGCAUGAAUAGCAUGAAAAUAGCAUUUAUGAGGAGGGCCUGUGCAUUGAUUGUAGAAACCGUGGGUGUGUUCUGUGGAUCUAGAGGUCAACGACUAGGAGUAGAUGAGUCUAAUGUUACUUCUAGUCUUUCGUCUGGUGGACAUUCAGCAAAAACGUCAUAAUUCCUGGUUAGCUAGUGAUAAGUUUUCACAAUAAAACAAUUUUACCUCAACAGCCAAAUUCUCAUAUCAGCUCUUCGUUCAACAAAGAUGCGGUUGCCCCAAAUGGAAAUUUUGAUACCUGUUACAUGACUGCUGAGGGUAUUUAAGUCUGACGUCUCCAUAGUUCUAUCUUGAUUUCUUUUUAUCCCGCUGGAUAUUCUCGAUUCCAGCAGCCAGAGAAUAGUGAAAAAGAAGCUUGGCCAGUUUUGGUAGCCCAGUACUGUAAAUGAUGAAUAAAAUAAAAGAAUGGUAAUGAAAAGAAGAAACUUUUCCAUAGCAGAAAAUCGAGUACUUGGAAUAAUUUUUUCCCCUUUAAAAUAAUGUGACGUUUCUUUAAGCUUUGAAAAGUAUGUCAAUAUACGGUGCAUAAUAUUUCGUAAGUAAAAUACAUUUAUUAACUAAA